UACGAAGGGGGCUAGCGUUGCUCGGAAUUACUGGGCGUAAAGCGCACGUAGGCGGCUUUCUAAGUCGGGGGUGAAAUCCUGGAGCUCAACUCCAGAACUGCCUUCGAUACUGGAGAGCUCGAGUCCGGGGAGAGGUGAGUGGAACUGCGAGUGUAGAGGUGAAAUUCGUAGAUAUUCGCAAGAACACCAGUGGCGAAGGCGGCUCACUGGCCCGGUACUGACGCUGAUGUGCGAAAGCGUGGGGAGCAAACAGG
Molecule: ribosomal RNA, 254 nt
Filed under: uncultured bacterium
Lineage: Bacteria
Description: partial 16S ribosomal RNA
Rfam family: Bacterial small subunit ribosomal RNA
Source: RNAcentral